UAGUGGCGAACGGGUGAGUAACACGUGGGCAAUCUGCCCUUCACUCUGGGACAAGCCCUGGAAACGGGGUCUAAUACCGGAUAACACUCUGUCCCGCAUGGGACGGGGUUAAAAGCUCCGGCGGUGAAGGAUGAGCCCGCGGCCUAUCAGCUUGUUGGUGGGGUAAUGGCCUACCAAGGCGACGACGGGUAGCCGGCCUGAGAGGGCGACCGGCCACACUGGGACUGAGACACGGCCCAGACUCCUACGGGAGGCAGCAGUGGGGAAUAUUGCACAAUGGGCGAAAGCCUGAUGCAGCGACGCCGCGUGAGGGAUGACGGCCUUCGGGUUGUAAACCUCUUUCAGCAGGGAAGAAGCGAAAGUGACGGUACCUGCAGAAGAAGCGCCGGCUAACUACGUGCCAGCAGCCGCGGUAAUACGUAGGGCGCAAGCGUUGUCCGGAAUUAUUGGGCGUAAAGAGCUCGUAGGCGGCUUGUCACGUCGGAUGUGAAAGCCCGGGGCUUAACCCCGGGUCUGCAUUCGAUACGGGCUAGCUAGAGUGUGGUAGGGGAGAUCGGAAUUCCUGGUGUAGCGGUGAAAUGCGCAGAUAUCAGGAGGAACACCGGUGGCGAAGGCGGAUCUCUGGGCCAUUACUGACGCUGAGGAGCGAAAGCGUGGGGAGCGAACAGGAUUAGAUACCCUGGUAGUCCACGCCGUAAACGUUGGGAACUAGGUGUUGGCGACAUUCCACGUCGUCGGUGCCGCAGCUAACGCAUUAAGUUCCCCGCCUGGGGAGUACGGCCGCAAGGCUAAAACUCAAAGGAAUUGACGGGGCCCGCACAAGCAGCGGAGCAUGUGGCUUAAUUCGACGCAACGCGAAGAACCUUACCAAGGCUUGACAUAUACCGGA
Molecule: ribosomal RNA, 889 nt
Filed under: Streptomyces sp.
Lineage: Bacteria; Bacillati; Actinomycetota; Actinomycetes; Kitasatosporales; Streptomycetaceae
Description: bacterial SSU rRNA
Rfam family: Bacterial small subunit ribosomal RNA
Source: RNAcentral